UGCUAUGUGCGUGUAGGAACCCAGAGCUGCUGUACUGAUUUAAUUGUGUGUUGUACACAGGUAUGCAAAAUAAAACCCCCGUUCAACUGGCAAAGCAGAAGAUGUCUGUCGUCCAUUACUACGCAUACUGAAAUUGAGGGAGUGUCAGGCCAGACCGGCUACA
Long non-coding RNA from Perca flavescens (yellow perch), 163 nucleotides. RefSeq lists it as uncharacterized. The transcript has 2 exons. NCBI's taxonomy places the organism in Eukaryota, Metazoa, Chordata, Actinopteri, Perciformes, Percidae. The record is from RefSeq and is a predicted model, not a curated record.